GAAAAGUCGUCUGAAGUCGCCUGGUACCCGCGCUAAGAAAAUCAACAACAUGCAGAGUGAUCCGAGUUUGGGUGCAACUUUUGAUGUAAAGGAAGACUGCCGGAGUCGGUGGGGAGAUCUAACAGCCACUGCAGGGAGAGCUCAGCAAGCCAGUACCUGGUAGAUGUGGCCCUCAUCAGUUCCCAAGCAACAGGUAACCAGUCUGGAUGUACAGUAGCACUGAGGAUUAA
Sardina pilchardus (European sardine) is the source of this 230-nucleotide long non-coding RNA. RefSeq lists it as uncharacterized. The record is from RefSeq and is a predicted model, not a curated record. The transcript is spliced from 3 exons. NCBI's taxonomy places the organism in Eukaryota, Metazoa, Chordata, Actinopteri, Clupeiformes, Clupeidae.